AUGGACGAAGGGAAUGUGGCGCAGCAGCUCAAGCAGAUGACGGACUUCAUCCGCUUGGAAGCCGUUGAGAAGGCAUUCGAGAUCGAGGCCGCCGCCGCCGAGGAAUUCCAAAUCGAGAAACUACAACUGGUGGAAGCUGAAAAGAAGAAGAUCAGGCAGGACUAUGAAAAGAAAGAGAAACAAGUUGAUAUCAAGAAGAAAAUUGAAUACUCAAUGCAGCUCAAUGCUUCCCGAAUUGAAGUUCUUCAAGCUCAAGAUGAUUUAGUAAAGUCCAUGAUGGAUUCAGCACGGAAAGAGCUACUGUACCAAAGCCGAGACCAUCAAUCUUACAAGAAACUUCUCAGGAUACUCAUUGUUCAGAGCUUGCUGCGUCUGAAAGAGUCGGCGGUCAUUCUCCGCUGCAGGAAGGAGGAUCUUGAGCUUGUUGAGUCGGUCUUGGAAUCUGCGAGGAAUGAGUAUGCGGAAAAGGAAAAUGUAUAUCCGCCUGAAAUCAUGGUAGACCGCCAUGUCUAUCUGCAGCCUGCUCCCAGUCAUUACAAGGAACAUGACCUGUCCUGCUCUGGUGGAGUUGUAAUGGCUUCUCAAGAUGGAAAAAUCGUCUUUGAGAACACGUUGGAUGCUAGACUAGAAGUGGUUUUCAGAAAGAAGCUGCCAGAGAUCCGUCAAAGCCUUAUUGGGCAGGUAGCUGCAUGA
This 693-nucleotide ribosomal RNA is filed under the name Triticum aestivum (bread wheat). RNAcentral's name for it is "partial small subunit ribosomal RNA". Lineage: Eukaryota; Viridiplantae; Streptophyta; Magnoliopsida; Poales; Poaceae. The record is from RNAcentral.